GAUGAACGCUGGCGGCGUGCCUAAUACAUGCAAGUCGAGCGAACAGACGAGGAGCUUGCUCCUCUGACGUUAGCGGCGGACGGGUGAGUAACACGUGGACAACCUACCUAUAAGACUGGGAUAACUUCGGGAAACCGGAGCUAAUACCGGAUAAUAUAUUGAACCGCAUGGUUCAAUAGUGAAAGACGGUUUUGCUGUCACUUAUAGAUGGAUCCGCGCCGCAUUAGCUAGUUGGUAAGGUAACGGCUUACCAAGGCGACGAUGCGUAGCCGACCUGAGAGGGUGAUCGGCCACACUGGAACUGAGACACGGUCCAGACUCCUACGGGAGGCAGCAGUAGGGAAUCUUCCGCAAUGGGCGAAAGCCUGACGGAGCAACGCCGCGUGAGUGAUGAAGGUCUUCGGAUCGUAAAACUCUGUUAUUAGGGAAGAACAAAUGUGUAAGUAUCUAUGCACGUCUUGACGGUACCUAAUCAGAAAGCCACGGCUAACUACGUG
This 497-nucleotide ribosomal RNA is filed under the name uncultured bacterium. Its description in RNAcentral is "partial 16S ribosomal RNA". It matches the Rfam family "Bacterial small subunit ribosomal RNA", at positions 28 to 507 of the family's 1533-position model. The record is from RNAcentral.